This 37-nucleotide transfer RNA is filed under the name Marsupella aquatica. RNAcentral describes it as "partial tRNA-Phe". Lineage: Eukaryota; Viridiplantae; Streptophyta; Jungermanniopsida; Jungermanniales; Gymnomitriaceae. The record is from RNAcentral.
UUGCCGGAAUAGCUCAGUUGGUAGAGCAGAGGACUGA